AAUAGAUUUGGGGAGGAAGAAGAGCCCCCAAACCCUUAACCUCCUUUAAUCCGCCAUAACUCUUCCGUCCGGGCUCCAAUUGCCACACCGUUUGCGGCCACGUGUCCAGCGCGUCGAGCUCUACAUUUAUAUCAGAUUAAUUUCACCGGUUCGAUUUAGCUUGCGGAGCUUACUGGGUUUGAGUUGCUACGCGUGUGGGAGCGGUGAGAGUUAAGUUCGUAUAUAUAUGCAUUGGAAGUAAAAAGUGAGUAUUUGGAGGUUUAUUGGUGAUUGAGGCUUGGUUUGUGGCUGUUUCUUUGAGUUUGGAGGGCUGUGUUCUUGCUUGUGAGGCUUCUUUGGGUUGAAUAAAGUGAUCGGCCAAGAUGCAGGUUGAGAGGCUCCUCGCUAGGCGUCUGGAUCCUGGAAAGCGAAGUAGUCCUUGGGUGUAUUUUGGCUUCUGGUUGUAUAUAUGUAUAUAUAUGUUUAGCUUACUCUCCAAGUAACUUAUGUAUGCUGCUCCUCUUAGAGGUUGAGGGAGAGAUAGGAGUUAUUUUGAUAUUAUAAUGUAUUUUGGGAUAUUUUGAGAACACUUAUGUAUGUUUAUAUGUAUAUAUAUACCCUCUGGCCAGCCUUAGCUUCACAGGCUGAGUCAGGGGCUAGUUAUGCUGCU
This is a long non-coding RNA of Arachis duranensis, 649 nucleotides long. RefSeq lists it as uncharacterized. NCBI's taxonomy places the organism in Eukaryota, Viridiplantae, Streptophyta, Magnoliopsida, Fabales, Fabaceae. The record is from RefSeq and is a predicted model, not a curated record. The transcript has 4 exons.